This 468-nucleotide ribosomal RNA is filed under the name uncultured bacterium. Its description in RNAcentral is "partial 16S ribosomal RNA". It matches the Rfam family "Bacterial small subunit ribosomal RNA", at positions 28 to 507 of the family's 1533-position model. The record is from RNAcentral.
GACGAACGCUGGCGGCGUGCUUAACACAUGCAAGUCGAACGGAAAGGCCCUGCUUUUGUGGGGUGCUCGAGUGGCGAACGGGUGAGUAACACGUGAGUAACCUGCCCUUGACUUUGGGAUAACUUCAGGAAACUGGGGCUAAUACCGGAUAGGAGCUCCUGCUGCAUGGGGGGGGUUGGAAAGUUUCGGCGGUUGGGGAUGGACUCGCGGCUUAUCAGCUGGUUGGUGGGGUAGUGGCUUACCAGGGCUUUGACGGGUAGCCGGCCUGAGAGGGUGACCGGCCACCUUGGGACUGCGAUACGGCCCAGACUCCUACGGGAGGCAGCAGUGGGGAAUAUUGCACAAUGGGCGGAAGCCUGAUGCAGCAACGCCGCGUGCGGGAUGACGGCCUUCGGGUUGUAAACCGCUUUCGCCUGUGACGAAGCGUGAGUGACGGUAAUGGGUAAAGAAGCACCGGCUAACUACGUG